Molecule: ribosomal RNA, 775 nt
Filed under: uncultured Alteromonadales bacterium
Lineage: Bacteria; Pseudomonadati; Pseudomonadota; Gammaproteobacteria; Alteromonadales
Description: bacterial SSU rRNA
Rfam family: Bacterial small subunit ribosomal RNA
Source: RNAcentral
UGGGCGUAAAGCGUACGUAGGCGGCGUGUUAAGCAAGAUGUGAAAGCCCCGGGCUCAACCUGGGAAUUGCAUUUUGAACUGGCAUGCUAGAGUCCUGAAGAGGGUGGUAGAAUUUCCAGUGUAGCGGUGAAAUGCGUAGAUAUUGGAAGGAAUACCGGUGGCGAAGGCGGCCACCUGGUCAGAGACUGACGCUGAGGUACGAAAGCGUGGGGAGCAACCAGGAUUAGAUACCCUGGUAGUCCACGCCGUAAACGAUGUCAACUAGUUGUUCGUGUCAUUAAGACGUGAGUAACGCAGCUAACGCACUAAGUUGACCGCCUGGGGUGUACGGCCGCAAGGUUAAAACUCAAAUGAAUUGACGGGGCCCGCACAAGCGGUGGAGCAUGUGGUUUAAUUCGAUGCAACGCGAAGAACCUUACCAUCCCUUGACAUCCAGUGAAUUUUCCAGAGAUGGAUUAGUGCCUUCGGGAACACUGAGACAGGUGCUGCAUGGCUGUCGUCAGCUCGUGUUGUGAGAUGUUGGGUUAAGUCCCGCAACGAGCGCAACCCUUAUCCUUAGUUGCCAGCACGUAAUGGUGGGAACUCUGGGGAGACUGCCGGUGAUAAACCGGAGGAAGGUGGGGACGACGUCAAGUCAUCAUGGCCCUUACGGGAUGGGCUACACACGUGCUACAAUGGCGCAUACAAAGGACAGCAAGCCAGCGAUGGUUAGCGAAUCUCAUAAAGUGCGUCGUAGUCCGGAUCGGAGUCUGCAACUCGACUCCGUGAAGUCGGA